This 465-nucleotide ribosomal RNA is filed under the name uncultured bacterium. RNAcentral's name for it is "partial 16S ribosomal RNA". It matches the Rfam family "Bacterial small subunit ribosomal RNA", at positions 338 to 795 of the family's 1533-position model. The record is from RNAcentral.
CCUACGGGAGGCAGCAGUGGGGAAUAUUGCGCAAUGGGCGAAAGCCUGACGCAGCGACGCCGCGUGAGGGAUGAAGGUCUUCGGAUCGUAAACCUCUGUCAGCAGGGAAGAACGGUCACUGUGCUAAUCAGCAGUGAAUUGACGGUACCUGCAAAGGAAGCACCGGCUAACUCCGUGCCAGCAGCCGCGGUAAUACGGAGGGGGCGAGCGUUAAUCGGAAUUACUGGGCGUAAAGCGCUCGUAGGCGGUAUGUCAAGUCAAGGGUGAAAUCCCCGCGCUCAACGUGGGAACUGCCUUUGAAACUGGCAAACUGGAGUGUGUGAGAGGAUAGUGGAAUUCCAGGUGUAGGAGUGAAAUGCGUAGAGAUCUGGAGGAACAUCAGUGGCGAAGGCGACUAUCUGGCACAUAACUGACGCUGAGGAGCGAAAGCGUGGGUAGCAAACAGGAUUAGAUACCCUUGUAGUC